AAUCAACGCUGGCGGCGUGCCUAACACAUGCAAGUCGAACGCGAAAGGGCUUCGGUCCUGAGUAGAGUGGCGUCCGGGUGAGUAACGCGUGGGUAAUCUACCCUUGGGUGGGAAGUAACCAGUCGAAGAUUGGCUAAUACCGCAUAAUGCAGCGGCUCGACAUCGAGACAGUUGUUAAAGCAGCAAUGCGCCAGAGGAGGAGCCUGCGUCUGAUUAGCUUGUUGGCGGGGUAACGGCCC
Molecule: ribosomal RNA, 239 nt
Filed under: uncultured bacterium
Lineage: Bacteria
Description: partial 16S ribosomal RNA
Rfam family: Bacterial small subunit ribosomal RNA
Source: RNAcentral